This 618-nucleotide long non-coding RNA is filed under the name Homo sapiens (human). RNAcentral describes it as "HSALNT0075250". The record is from RNAcentral. Lineage: Eukaryota; Metazoa; Chordata; Mammalia; Primates; Hominidae.
GCUCCACCCAGUUCGAGCUUCCUGGCUGCUUUGUUUACCUAAGCAAGCCUGGGCAAUGGUGGGCGCCCCUCCCCCAGCCUGGCUGCUGCCUUGCAGUUUGAUCUCAGACUGCUGUGCUAGCAAUCAGCGAGACUCCGUGGGGUAGGACCCUCAGAGCCAGGUGCGGGGUAUAAUCUCGUGGUGCGCCGUUUUUUAAGCCCGUCGGAAAAGCGCAGUAUUCGGGUGGGAGUGACCCGAUUUUCCAGGUGCUGUCCGUCACCCCUUUCUUUGAUUAGGAAAGGAACUCCCUGACCCCUUGCGCUUCCCGAGUGAGGCAAUGCCUCGCCCUGCUUCGGCUCGCGCACGGUGCGCGCACCCACUGACCUGCGCCCACUGUCUGGCACUCCCUAGUGAGAUGAACCCGGUACCUCAGAUGGAAAUGCAGAAAUCACCCGUCUUCUGCGUCGCUCAGGCUGGGAGCUGUAGACUGGAGCUGUUCCUUUUCGGCCAUCUUGGCGCCUCCCUCAGCCCACAUGUGAAUCACAGCUUCUACUGCAUGCCCACUCCUUUUGCCUAAAUAUGCAGUUAUCAUCAUACAUCCAGAAUUGCCCUCUGAAUAAAAAAUACUUUAACUUGAAG